This 75-nucleotide transfer RNA is filed under the name Agrobacterium rubi. RNAcentral describes it as "tRNA-His". It matches the Rfam family "tRNA". From Rfam's summary of the family: Transfer RNA (tRNA) molecules are approximately 80 nucleotides in length. Their secondary structure includes four short double-helical elements and three loops (D, anti-codon, and T loops). Further hydrogen bonds mediate the characteristic L-shaped molecular structure. tRNAs have two regions of fundamental functional importance: the anti-codon, which is responsible for specific mRNA codon recognition, and the 3' end, to which the tRNAs corresponding amino acid is attached (by aminoacyl-tRNA synthetases). tRNAs cope with the degeneracy of the genetic code in two manners: having more than one tRNA (with a specific anti-codon) for a particular amino acid; and 'wobble' base-pairing, i.e. permitting non-standard base-pairing at the 3rd anti-codon position. Lineage: Bacteria; Pseudomonadati; Pseudomonadota; Alphaproteobacteria; Hyphomicrobiales; Rhizobiaceae. The record is from RNAcentral.
GCGAGCGUAGUUCAGUGGUAGAACGCCGGUCUGUGGAACCGGAGGUCGCGGGUUCGAAACCCGCCGCUCGUACCA